GGUAGCUACGCUCGGACGGGAUAAGCGCUGAAAGCAUCUAAGCGCGAAACCCGCCCCAAGAUGAGAUCUCCCUUAAGGGCCGUGGGAGACUACCACGUCGAUAGGCCGCAGGUGUAAAGCCAGAAAUGGCACAGCCGAGCGGUACUAAUUGCCCGAGCGUGUUCU
This 165-nucleotide ribosomal RNA is filed under the name Pontibacter diazotrophicus. RNAcentral's name for it is "partial 23S ribosomal RNA". It matches the Rfam family "Bacterial large subunit ribosomal RNA", at positions 2744 to 2925 of the family's 2925-position model. Lineage: Bacteria; Pseudomonadati; Bacteroidota; Cytophagia; Cytophagales; Hymenobacteraceae. The record is from RNAcentral.